UGCAAAAUCAUUCCCUGUUGUUAAUUUUAUUAAUUGUGUUAAUCUGUCUUGCUUAUUUCCAUAUAUUAUUUCAUCAUUGUCCUCACAUUUUACAGGCGCGGUCAGCCUACAUGCCAUUUGAGUCGGCAGCCAUAUUUGAAAUAGUCUAUUCCUUUGUUCGUCAUUUAGGCUGUAUUUGUCCACAUUUGACUCAAACAUUUCAGCAUUAGUAAAUGCAUCCACUGACGUGUCA
This is a non-coding RNA of Pelobates cultripes (western spadefoot toad), 232 nucleotides long. NCBI's taxonomy places the organism in Eukaryota, Metazoa, Chordata, Amphibia, Anura, Pelobatidae. The record is from the annotation of a GenBank genome assembly.